GGGGGCGCAACGGUUUCGACGGUGAUAUUAGUGCUAUAAGCUGCAUGCCGAGGAUGCUUUGUAGGCUCGUUAAUCAUUCAAAGCAAAACAUAAUCGCAGAUAACUACGAUUACGCAUUAGCCGCUUAAUCGGCUAACGUCUUUGAAAUUUCUACCUGCAAAAUUCAAAGGCGACAACUGCAGGGUAUAGGUUUGACGUUUCCUUUUCGUCAAAUCCGAAUCUUUAAAAGGACGACGAAGAAAGGUUUUGUUUAUUCUUUGCUUUCAUAAGCCGUAUUUAAAGAAUAAACUAAGCAUGUAGAAGCUUUAGUUUUAAAUCUUCGGACGCGGGUUCGACUCCCGCCGCCUCCACCA
This 353-nucleotide transfer-messenger RNA is filed under the name Deltaproteobacteria bacterium. It matches the Rfam family "transfer-messenger RNA". From Rfam's summary of the family: Bacterial tmRNA, also known as 10Sa RNA or SsrA, is named for its dual tRNA and mRNA-like properties. Its role is to liberate the mRNA from a stalled ribosome. RNAcentral also lists the same sequence under 1 other name. The record is from RNAcentral. Lineage: Bacteria; Pseudomonadati; Myxococcota; Myxococcia.